UAAGCGGUUUAAUGAAUGUUUUUAAAUACAACUUAACAUAAAUAAUAGACUAGAAUUAACAAUAUUAUUUUACAGAUUAUCAUAAAACCAAGUUUUUAGUUUGAGUGUAAAAUGCGAAUAAUUUGAACAUUUACCUAUUAUAUCUGCAAUGUUCUCUAAUGACCUUAGAUCAACUUGAUUGAAUGUAUUAGAUGCUUUCUUGGUGUUCAUAAAUAAAAUUUCGAAAUAUUUUUUUCUAAGAUUAUGGAGAUUGUUUUUAAUUGUAAAAGCUUUAGUUUUAUAAAUAAAACAUAUCGCUUGCUUAUUGUAAAGUUUUUCUAUUUCUAGUAUUCGAAAUAGUUUGAAUAGCUCUUUUGAAGGGAAAGUUUUUGGUUUAUUUAAGAUAAUUUUUAUUAUAUUCUUUUGUGGCAUAGUUAAAUUAUAUUUUUAUAAUAGGGUGCACCUACCCUAAGCGAUUAUUCCGUAUUGUACUAAAGAUUGACCAUUGCAAAGUAUGUUAUUCUAAGGUAGUUUUAGCUUAGUAUUUUUUUAGCUGUUAGGAAAAAGUAAGUUAGUUGUCUCAAUUUAUUAUAUUUUCUAUGUGAAUAUCCCAUUUUAAAUUUUGAUCAAUUAUUAUACCAAGGUAUUUAAUGGAUGUGUGUUUAAUGUAUAUUAUAUUCAUAAUUAUAUAUCGUAUAUUAUUAUAAUUAGAAUAAAACAAUGUCUUUAGUGCAUUAGGUAUAUUAUAUUGUUAU
Molecule: non-coding RNA, 734 nt
Organism: Cinara cedri
Lineage: Eukaryota; Metazoa; Arthropoda; Insecta; Hemiptera; Aphididae
Source: the annotation of a GenBank genome assembly